This 180-nucleotide small RNA is filed under the name Arabidopsis thaliana (thale cress). RNAcentral's name for it is "ATSL192770". The record is from RNAcentral. Lineage: Eukaryota; Viridiplantae; Streptophyta; Magnoliopsida; Brassicales; Brassicaceae.
CGAUCAGGAAUUAUCUGAAGCAGAACUGGUUUUAAUCAUCACUGCCCUCAAUACAAACAAACAAAACAACAAAGAAGAAACUUUAAGAGGCUCAUAUUAAGAAAUUCAACCAUUGAUUAUCGUAUAUACUUCAUAGAACUAAGUCUCAGAAGCGCGGAUAAUUUUGUAAUCAUAGCCCAA